GGCGACGAGCGCAGUGAGGAGCCAGGCGGCGCUGCCGGACGCGGAGCGUCCCUCGUAAUGGAAGGGGGUCGCCGGUUCGAGUCCGGCCGUCGGCU
This 95-nucleotide transfer RNA is filed under the name Chloroflexota bacterium. RNAcentral's name for it is "tRNA-Leu". Lineage: Bacteria; Bacillati; Chloroflexota. The record is from RNAcentral.